ACACGAGGAAGGAGGUGGUCUGAAAUUGAUUUCUAGGACACGUGAGGUGACCACCAGCUAACCGGCCGUUCUGUGGAAUGUUCUGUGCCUCAGGCGGUAUGGAGCUAAUCCACGGUGGUCACCGGACCCCGCACCUCGACCUCGUCCAAGGUCGGUCAACCCGCUUCUUGCGGGUGGUGCGGGGUCUGUUCUCG
RNAcentral lists this small RNA (194 nucleotides) under Williamsia sp. 1138. RNAcentral's name for it is "Actinobacteria sRNA Ms_IGR-5". It matches the Rfam family "Actinobacteria sRNA Ms_IGR-5". The record is from Rfam by way of RNAcentral. Lineage: Bacteria; Bacillati; Actinomycetota; Actinomycetes; Mycobacteriales; Nocardiaceae.